Molecule: long non-coding RNA, 824 nt
Organism: Nerophis ophidion (straightnose pipefish)
Lineage: Eukaryota; Metazoa; Chordata; Actinopteri; Syngnathiformes; Syngnathidae
Exons: 3
Source: RefSeq, a predicted model, not a curated record
CUACUUCCGCUAAGUACUUAGCCAUGCUUGAGCGGUCAAUUUCGGUCUCAGCUAUUAGUCAAUAUUGGUCCAUAUCUCUUUAAUAAACAACAGUUAAACUUGAGACAAGCUGCAGACUAAUAUAGUACCGUGGUUAAAACGUUGAUUAAGGUACAACUUCAACCCGACUCUGCCUCCAGAAGCCCCCAGUUCAAACCUCUUCCAGAUGGUGGCGAUGAACCCCCACACACCGCCCGCAGGCAGAACCAAUCCCCAUGCAGAUGUGCUAAAAGCUCACACCCGCAAAAGACAUACCAAUUUUAGAACAAACCAACUCUAUCCAUCCAUCCUUUCAUCAAGGCUUACCUGUGCUCCUCUCACGACGUACUGUCUGCGUGGGGUGGAGGGCCAGUUGGUCGUAGUGUUCAAAAAAAGAGGACGUCUCAGGAGAGAAACACAAGAAGAGGGGAAAAAGAAACAGACAGGGGGAGGAGAAAGAGAGGCAGACUGGGGGGAGAUGAAGAAACAGAAAAAGGAGGAGGAGAAGAGGAGGAUGGCGACUGAGCAGAAGGGAAUUGAAAAGAUGGUAUGGAUGGAAGUGUGCAAAAAUGAUAACAGGUGUCACCUUUUGUGAACAUCUCUAUGAUUCAUAUCACCUUGGUAUGUUAGAAAAAGUUGUAAAACAUGACAAUAAUUGUCCAGAAAAGUAUUCUACAACAUUGAAGGUCGCAAUUGAUUUCACGUGGGUUUGCCUGGGAUUUUUUUUAUACCACAUCCAUUUAAAAAGCACAAUUGAACAGGGGUCUGGGGUUGUUUUUACAAUCCAAAUGCCUCCCCCAUUUGCC